Canis lupus familiaris (dog) is the source of this 1489-nucleotide long non-coding RNA. RefSeq lists it as uncharacterized. Lineage: Eukaryota; Metazoa; Chordata; Mammalia; Carnivora; Canidae. The transcript is spliced from 5 exons. The record is from RefSeq and is a predicted model, not a curated record.
UCCUGGAGCCAUCAGACUUUGGAGCCUCAUAAAGUAUGGACUCCAUACCAGCCUCCUGGGAGUUUCUCCAUCUUCACUCUACUGACAUAUCUGUGCCCGCUGUAUUUGGAUUGAAAUCCUUGGCAGCAGACUGGGCUCUGCUACCUAUCAGCCAGUGGAAACAUGAAAUUCUCUAUAAGGUUCAGUUGCUGCACCCACAAAAUGGGCACAAGCUCACAGGGUUGAUGCGCUCAGGCACCAGGAUGACCUCAGCCUCAGAGCAUAUAGAAUGACAUCCUACUACUGAACCAGCUCUCCUCCAGUAUCUCAGCAGACCAGACUCAGAUCCAUCCCAUUACAUCGCCCCUGCUUUUCCUGCCUGAAAGAUUUCUCAGACAUGCUAUUGGGGAAAAAUAGAGAGAAAAGAAUAUUAGAGAAAGAACCAGAAAAAUCUAGAGCUGCAAUUUCAUGUGAUAAACUACCCAAUGCCUUGAUGAUCACACUUCAUGAAACUGAGUCACUUGGACUAUUCUGAUGAUCACAACAGAUUGCUGCCUUUCUCCCAAACCAACCAGGCAGUUAUUUCUUCUUUGGAAUGCACCGAUUGAAACUACCUGCAAAUUUAAAUGAUAAAGAAAAUUGAUGGCAUCAUCUUUACUAUCUUAUUAAACCAUACUUCUAUUACUGAUGAUUCACUAGAGUGCCAAGAAUAGGUAUACUGAAAACUUCUAUAGCAUAUUAAUGUGUUAAGCAUCACACCACAUUUAGUUCCUGAUAUAAUUUUGAGUUUCCUCUGGGGGAAAAAACAGUUCUUCUGUAUUCCUUUUAUAAAAAAACCACCUUGAAAAAGCUUUCAGAUACUCAAAAAUGUGAAUCUUGCUCUACCCCCUUGUGUAUAUCUGAUUUAAAGGUUAAUAAGUAAUUAGGAAGAACACUCAUCCAAAAAUUACCAAUUAAUAUACCAUCAUUUUCAUUAAAAGUGCUAUUAAUUAUAUUGUUGUACAAAUGUCCUGGACUGGCUCAUAAAAAGUUACCUAAAGCAAUUCUAAAUCUUUUGGGGAGAAAGAGAAAUUAAUCAAAAUCAAUCACUUUUUUAAAUUAUGAUUUGGGUUUGAGAAGUCAAACAAAAGAGGGUGUUCAAAUCAAAAAGCAACCGGAGACCAGCCUUGAAAAUUUCCUGAGAAGACAAAAAUCUGGCUAGUCAUACAAACGAAGUUUAAUUUAUCUUAUUUUGCAAGGUUAACUUGACCUGGAUCAUUUCUUGCUUAUGUCUCCGAACCUCAAAAGCAAAACGUGAACUGUCUCCCAGUGUUGAUGGGAGGUAACCAUGGACAAGUUCUCUAUGAUUUAAGAAAAUGCUAGUACUAUAACCAGUCACUGUGAAUAAUAAACCACUUGCUUAUGACGUAAGCUGCUUUACAGCAAGGCACCCCUGAGCCUCACUCCCUGUCUUGGUCUGAGUUCUCCCAGUUUGCAAACUGUCUUUUUGGUUGCAUGUACAAUAAACUUA